Molecule: long non-coding RNA, 445 nt
Filed under: Bos taurus (domestic cattle)
Lineage: Eukaryota; Metazoa; Chordata; Mammalia; Artiodactyla; Bovidae
Description: long non-coding RNA NONBTAT017423
Source: RNAcentral
UGAACGUAGAGCUUGAUAUAUUAUAAGUCUGUAGCUUCACAACCUCGUUGUUCUCAUUGACUGUAAGUCAAUGUUACAUUUUGAACAUAAAAACAAAUUGAAGUUAAACAGACCUUUGAUUUUUUUAUUGGGGCUCUUGGUUAUACUGCAUUGGGGGAAAAUGAUUUUCACUCUUAACGUUUGAAAAUCUGUGACUUAAGAUAUUCUUUUCUUAAAAAAGCAGUCUUCUUUGAUUACCAUUGCCUUUCCUUUUCCUUUUUUGCCUUGGCCACAAGAUGUUCAGAGCUAUAAUGUUUUCAACCGCAAUAGUGCCCAUUUUCUAGGAUAAUUAUUUCCCUUCUCUUCCCUUCACUAUUAAAAUUCUUUCUGCUAAUGAUAUUUGUUUUUCUACUAUCUGUAGAUUUAUUGCUUUCUUUUUUAAACAAAAUCGAUUGUUUUUUUUUUU